Petrimonas mucosa is the source of this 175-nucleotide non-coding RNA. NCBI's taxonomy places the organism in Bacteria, Pseudomonadati, Bacteroidota, Bacteroidia, Bacteroidales, Dysgonomonadaceae. The record is from Rfam.
UUGCGGGCGACCGCAAAUCUGAAAGAAGCCAUUAGCAAAUCUGCAGUUCUGACGAACAGAAACCAGAUAUAAGGCUCAUUUGAGCGGGCAACCGAGCCAUAGAUUGGGAACGCCCAAAAUUCAACCGUAACUCAACGUGAGUAAAUCAGGCAGAACUCAGAGAAAGUUUAGUAUC